AGUGAACGCUGGCGGUAGGCCUAACACAUGCAAGUCGAACGGCAGCACAGUAAGAGCUUGCUCUUACGGGUGGCGAGUGGCGGACGGGUGAGGAAUACAUCGGAAUCUACUUUUUCGUGGGGGAUAACGUAGGGAAACUUACGCUAAUACCGCAUACGACCUACGGGUGAAAGUAGGGGAUCUUCGGACCUUGCGCGAUUGAAUGAGCCGAUGUCGGAUUAGCUAGUUGGCGGGGUAAAGGCCCACCAAGGCGACGAUCCGUAGCUGGUCUGAGAGGAUGAUCAGCCACACUGGAACUGGGACACGGUCCAGACUCCUACGGGAGGCAGCAGUGGGGGAUAUUGGACAAUGGGCGCAAGCCUGAUCCAGCCAUACCGGGUGGGUGAAGAAGGCCUUCGGGUUGUAAAGCCCUUUUGUUGGGAAAGAAAAGCAGCAGGUUAAUACCCCGCUGUUCUGACGGUAACCAAAGAAUAAGCACCGGCUAACCUCGGGC
RNAcentral lists this ribosomal RNA (493 nucleotides) under uncultured bacterium. RNAcentral's name for it is "partial 16S ribosomal RNA". It matches the Rfam family "Bacterial small subunit ribosomal RNA", at positions 29 to 508 of the family's 1533-position model. The record is from RNAcentral.